This is a long non-coding RNA of Hyla sarda, 1517 nucleotides long. RefSeq lists it as uncharacterized. The record is from RefSeq and is a predicted model, not a curated record. NCBI's taxonomy places the organism in Eukaryota, Metazoa, Chordata, Amphibia, Anura, Hylidae. The transcript is spliced from 3 exons.
CGGCUUCCUUAGGUUCCAGGGAGCCGUCUUCUUCUGCUGCACGCCGCCCGCGCCGAUCUCCGUCGCCGCCUGCCGAUCACCGUCGCCCUCCGGAGGGUUAUGAGUACACCCACCUGCUGUGUCAUGGCUUCCGCCUGAGUCAGGACGCUUAUGGAUAGUGAGCCAUUGUCCUCGAAGCUACUUCUCCUCAUACUGAUCCGGUCUCGCUCAUUCUGUACAGCUGAAACAACAGCAAACAUGGUUUCUGGAUCACAUACUUUGUAUGAUAACAACAGACGCCCCACCUGAUCUGCGCAGCUGAGGCCCCUCAUCAUGAGAACAGCCGAAUAUGCAGAGCAGUGAGGAGGAUUUGGCGAUUUGCAUCAUCCAUGGUCUUUGAGGAGCACUUACUGCGCUUUUUAUUAGGCUGGACCUGUCCCAUCCAUCACUGCUGCCUUGUAAAUCACAGCAAGAAACUCAGCUGAACCCAGCUGCAGUCCCACAAUUACCAAAAUGUCAUUUUACAUUCUUUUGUACUGUGCACAAGACAGUUUCAUAGAUAUACCCAGCAAAGCAGUUCGGAACAGCAAUAGAUCAUUUCAGAUCAGUUCACUCAGCUUUCCCAGACUCCUGAGCUGCAAAUCGGCCAUGUUAUGCAGCAAUGUACUAUGCAGUAAUGACAGAAUCACAUGACUGGAGUCUGGGCCAGUAGUACACCCCUGAUGAGAGUUGUCAACCAUAUUCCACAAAUAGAUUGACGGAACAUUGAGAAAGUGGAGAAUCAAGGGGGGAUUAAAGUGCAGAAAAUGACUCACAAUCAGAGCUGAACCUGGACACAGCAGAGACCUCACCCCAGAUAAUAGAGAUUUAUAGUAUGGGGGGUUCAAAACACAUGCUGCAGAUACCCGAUACUCUAUGUGAUAUUCUGUAUUCCAGCCAGAUAUUAAUUGCACAUGGAAUGAUCCCGACUGUAGAUGUGUCCCCCUGUGGGCCCCGCACUCGCUGCUUAAGAAUAUUUUCCACAUACUAUUCUGUCCUUAUCACAUCACAACUCAAAGAUUAUUAGAAUCCAGAUAAAUAGGACAGUGGAAUAGACAGAGACAAAGCUAUUAGGCACCUUCUAACCAAGUGAAAUAAAUAACUGUGACUGCAAUGCAAAAACAAAUACAAAAAAGCAACAGUAUCCUGCACGUGUUAUUGUGGUGGUCCAGAGCAGGGGGGGGGGGGGGGUCAUCUUUCGCUAACAUGAACAUUGUUCAUUCGGGUGACUGUUGCCUCAAAGGUCCCUACCUCACCCUCAGAACUAUGGGCAAGAUUUAUCAAAAUCUGUGCAGAGGAAAAGUUGACUAGUUGCCCGAAGCAACCAAUCAUGAAAGAAAUGAAAGAAGCUAGCUGAUUGGUUGCUAUGGGCAACUGCACCUUUCUUCCUCUGCACAGGUUUUGAUAAAUCUGCCCUAUGUCUUUUAAUGUGUUUCUAUGUAAGUGUAUUUUUCAAUGUUAUUAUAUGUAUCCUCCAUGCACUGAGCCUAAAUAUAGUU